AAUUCUAAUUUUACUUUCCCGUAAAAUUACUUUGUUACGACUUGUUUUAUAUAAUUAAAAUUUAUAUUAAUAUUUAUUAUAUAAAAAUGACGGGCAAUAUGUACAUAUUUAAUUUAUAAUUUAAUAUUUUUAAAUUAAAAUAUUUAUUAUUAAAUUCUAAUUUAAUAAUUUUUUAAAUAAUUAUUAAAUAUAUUUAUUAUAAAUAAAAUAUAUUAUAAAUAUAAAGUAAAUAUAAAGUAACUCAAAAAUUCUAAUUAAAUUUAUAUUUUGACUUGAAUUAUUUAAUAAUUAAAUUUUAAAUUAAUUAAAAUUUUAAUUAAAAAAUUAAAUUUAAACAGUAAUAUAUAAAAAUAUAUAAAUUAGUUUAUUAAAAUGUGGAUUAUCAAAUUAAAUUUCAAGUUCAUCUAAAAAAAAAUACCGUCAAUUUUUUUAAAUUUAAUAAAUUAAUAUUUAGUAUUUUAAUAUAAGUUUAUUUAUUAAUAAUAGGGUAUCUAAUCCUAGUUUUUUAAAAAAAAUUUUAUAAAAAUCAAUUAAAUUUAAAAAUUUUUAUUUUUUAUUAAUUAUUUAUUUAAUCAAUUAUUAAAAUUUAUAAAAAUUUAUAUAAAAAUUUAAUU
RNAcentral lists this ribosomal RNA (614 nucleotides) under Protapanteles sp. 2 SNS-2016. RNAcentral's name for it is "12S ribosomal RNA". Lineage: Eukaryota; Metazoa; Arthropoda; Insecta; Hymenoptera; Braconidae. The record is from RNAcentral.